Molecule: long non-coding RNA, 3244 nt
Filed under: Phoenix dactylifera (date palm)
Lineage: Eukaryota; Viridiplantae; Streptophyta; Magnoliopsida; Arecales; Arecaceae
Description: long non-coding RNA (PDAC_LNC008885)
Source: RNAcentral
UCUAUCCACUCGUCAAUGACUUACUUGAUGCUGCAGUUGUAUGGCUGGUCCUUUGACCUGCGAUGCCUCGGCUAUUCAUAGUGAGGUUGCUGUAGUUUGACAAGCACAUAAACAUGGGCCCUAUCCAUUUGGAUCCUUGUGGUGCAGAUUGGCUGCAGUAGGUUCAUUGCAGGAGUAUAGUGCAUCUAGAUAGAAUCUAUCGACCUUGAUAGAUUAGGAGAGUCCUAUGUGAUUUAUGAGACUGAGUUCGUAAAUCCUUGGCCAAGGUAGUUUUUGGAAAAAGAGUUUUUCAAUCUCGAACUGGAGUUGAAUAAAUUUUACAUAUGAUAGAUGAUGGAGUUUGACGAGUUAUCCAUGACCUCCAUCCUGUCGGGAUCCACGAUAGAGGAACUGUAUCAUACGCUAACUGCACCUAGAGGUUCAUCUAUUCCAUUCUACUGGGUUGCCACUACAUGCUGCUAGGUGUCACUGGUGGAUUGUGAGACUCAGAGACAUUCACUUGAUGAUCACUGAACCCAAAUGAGAAGAGUUGGAAUUGUUCCAACCCAUUGAAAGGAGUUUCAAUGAUAUUGUGAUAGGGAUCACAAUAUAUCUCACUACCAGAUAGAAUAGAACCUAUGGGGUCACACAUAAUAGAGGAUCUGAUUGAUCUAAUGGUUGGAUUGUGAUUUGGAAUCACAAUGGUUUGUAAUUAUCAAUUUGAUUGAUAAUUAGUUUAACCCACUAAAAGUUAGUGAGUUGAAGAAGGGAUUAAUUGCAAUUAGAUUGCAAUUUGAUUGAAUCAAUUGGACUUAAUUAAUUGGGCUCGAUCUUAUUUGAUAAGGUUCAAGAGUCCUACUUGAAGUAGGACUCCUAGAGUUCUAAUAAGAUUAGGACUUCAAAUUAUUAGAGUCCUACUUGGAGUAGGAUUCCUAAAGUCCUAAUUAGAUUAGGACUAAAAUUAUAUGAAUCCUAAUUGGAUUAGGAUUCCUAGAGUCCUAAUUAAUUUUGGUUUAAUAGAUAAAGAUGACUCCUAAUUAGAUUAGGAUUCAUGUGAAUCAAAUAGAGAGAUUAAUUGGGUCCUAAUUAGAUUGGGUUUCAAUAAACCAAGGGCCACCUAAAUCCUAAUUUGAUUAGGAUUAGAAGGGAGGGGCAAGAGCCCCUCCUUUCCUCAGAUGCUCCCAGGACCCGCAUCCCGGUUGGCCGGAAUGCGCAUCCCGGGCGUCCGGGACUCGCGUCCCGGGCGUCCAGGAUGCGAGACCCGUGGCGUGGCUUCUCUUAUAUAUAUGAGGAGGCCACACCUAGGGCAAGCAUGAGAAAAGAAAAGAGGAUUUUUCUUUCAUGUUGGCGGCCCUCCUCUUCUCCCUAGAGCUUUUCUUUCAUGAUGGCGGCCUCUCAUCUUCUUCCUUCUUCCAUCCACAAGGGCCAAAGAAAAGGGGCAGCAAGCAAGGUUGGUCUUCUUCCUCUUCUUCAUCAGCCACAUGAAAGAAACCAUAGAGAGGAAGGUGUUCCUCUCUUCCCUCCUUCUUCAUCCAUGGUAAAGGAAAGGCAAGAAAGUGUUUCUUCCUUCUCCUUCUUCUUCCUCUUAGAAGCAAUCAAGAGUUGAUUGCUUAGAGGAGUUCCAACCAUCAAAAGGGAUCUCUGCAAGGGAGCUAGCACCCCGGUGAGAUCGCAACCUCGAUCAAUCCAGAUCUUCGUGUGGAUACCCGUAGAGGCCGAACACUUGUGUGGCUUCAAGCGAACCUGAUUUUCACGAUCAUCAAAUAGCGGUGAAGAUCUACCCGCUCAAAGAUAAAAAUUUGAUCUUUAUAAUUUUUAAUUGUAGAUCUGAAAAUUAAUCAAGUAAUUAAUUUUAAUCCUUUCCUUCAGAUUUCAUGAUCUUCUGAGUUAGAGAACUCAGAAUUUUUUUGAAAUCUACGUUCCUCGGGACGUUCAUGAGAUGAACGACCCCGCGCGCGUCUUUCCGCUGCAAUCGUCGCAACGUGUGCAGAGGUAACCCGACAGUCAUUUGGCUCUUUAUUAUACAGGUGACUUGAGCAGUUCCCCAUUUUCAUUAUUGGUGCAAUAUUGAGGAUCUCUCUGAAAUAAAUUGGUCGGUAGAGACUAUUGACCGCAAAGUUGCAGCCGUGCAUAAUAAAGAUCACUGUUUCUCAAUAUUAUAAUUAUAACAAAGAAGAAUGGUUCAUGAGACAACAGAAAGAAAGAAUGAAAGAAGAAAAGAAAGAAAGAAUGAAGGAAUGAAAGAAAGAAAGAAGGAACGAAAGAAAAGGAACAAAAGAAAAAACAAAUGAUAGAAAGAAGGAAAGAAAGAAAGAAAGAAAGAAAUAACGAAAUAAAGAAAGAACGAAAGGAAGGAAGGAAGGAAGGAAGGAGAAGAAGAAUAUUUUGAAUAACAUGGAUUUCAUCUUUAUAUUAAUUUAUAUUUGCACUAUUAUUUGCAUAUAUUUUUAUUGUGUACAUCUACAAGUGUUACUUAGGAAUACAAAUAUGGGUAGAUAGGCAACAGUUACAAAACGUCCUUGCCUGAAUGAGAUUUAAAUUUUAAAGUGUCCAGCAUUACAUGCAUACAUAAAGCCAACAUUUUUUAUGAAUAUUAAAAUAUUAUUUUAUAUUAAAAAAUGUUUUUGAGAAAAAAUGUUUUAUUCAAAAUUAUUAAAAUUUUGUUUAAUGACCUUUGGUACAUCACUAGCUUGUCUAAUGUAAAUUUAAUCUUUGAAUUAAUUUAUAGUUGCACCUAACUGUUUUCAGAAAUUUUGUUCUGUUACAUCUGCAAGUAUCAUGUACGAACACAAACAUGGGUAUGUCAAUGGAAGUUCUGAAACUUCCUAUGAGAUUCAGAUUUUAAAAUAGUAACAUUAAAAAGAUUAAGGAUUUGAUUUUUUGGAAACCAAUAAAACAUAAACGCUAUUUUCUUAAUAGAGAUAACAGAAAGUAUUAAAGAAUUGACAAUUUUUCGGAAGUUGGAUGAAAGGCCAAUUUUUUUAGGAAUAAUUUUCGGGGGUGGGGGGGGAAGGGGGUGUGGGGGGUAUGUAAAUCAGCCUCUGCUCAUUUGAGUAGUUGGUGGAGCCAGUAGAUUAUCUAUGCUUCUAGUUCUUUAUAGUCCUCAAGCAUCUCAAAAUUCAUCAGUGAAAACUUAGCCACAGCUGUUUUCAAUCCAUUCUAAAAAGGAUGCAACUUUCAGCGAUGCUUGCUAUUGGUCAAUAUAGAGUCACCUCCACUUACAAAUAAGAAAAAUUGUUCUUUGUAUAAUGAAGAGAAUGAUUNN